Onychostruthus taczanowskii (white-rumped snowfinch) is the source of this 793-nucleotide long non-coding RNA. RefSeq lists it as uncharacterized. Lineage: Eukaryota; Metazoa; Chordata; Aves; Passeriformes; Passeridae. The transcript is spliced from 3 exons. The record is from RefSeq and is a predicted model, not a curated record.
UGACAUGUAAAUAUGAUAGCACGGCUUGUAUUUACUUAAAAACCAAUAUACCUAAAUUUAAGUGUGUUCUCUCACAAUGGAAAGUAAAUCAUUGUUACUGAUUGUUAACUGGUCCUGUUACAAUAGAAGAAAAUUUCUGCAUUUAGUUUACUUAGUAGUGAAGGACACUGAACAAUUUCUACAGCCAAAUAUUCAGUGAAGAUAAAUCACCAUUCCUCACUUUAACCAGACCACAACCACUUUCAUUUCAAUACUGAGUGCACGACCAACCACAUAGCAGGGUGACAUGCAGGAGAUUUCUGUGCAACACCAGGGAUUUGCAGAACUGCUGCAAAGGGACAAACAAACAAAUGUGAUUUAAGUGAGAUAGUGGAGGAUGCUGCAGCUGGUAGUUCCAAAUCCCUUGAAGACAGGCCUGCACUGGAAAACUGCCAGGUUGUGCAGGGCAGAUCCAGCCAGCCCUGUGGUUUGCAUCAUAAAGCAAAAGACCUGACUGUGCUCCUCCCAACAAUACUCCUGCAGGACCUGGAAGUUUUACCAUUCAACCCUGGGACCAUAUGGCUGGGAUCUCGUUUUCUCUCCUUCUGGACUUUCUCUACACACUUGGGAUCCUUUCUGAUCCUUUUAGAAACUUCCAGGAUGGCACCACGAGCUAUGCAGAUGGUACAUUCUUGCUUCUUGGAGCAAAGGAAAGACAUCUGGACACUGUCUAAUGAGUUGAUCAGCUUCAACAGUCUCUACAAAAUACCAAGGGUCCAAGAGGGGCAGCCGGACGUUCUCCAGCACGUAUGGC